This 184-nucleotide ribosomal RNA is filed under the name uncultured Streptococcaceae bacterium. RNAcentral's name for it is "partial 16S ribosomal RNA". It matches the Rfam family "Bacterial small subunit ribosomal RNA", at positions 155 to 334 of the family's 1533-position model. The record is from RNAcentral. Lineage: Bacteria; Bacillati; Bacillota; Bacilli; Lactobacillales; Streptococcaceae.
AACGAUAGCUAAUACCGCAUAACAGUAGAUGUUGCAUGACAUUUGCUUAAAAGGUGCAAUUGCAUCACUACCAGAUGGACCUGCGUUGUAUUAGCUAGUUGGUGGGGUAACGGCUCACCAAGGCGACGAUACAUAGCCGACCUGAGAGGGUGAUCGGCCACACUGGGACUGAGACACGGCCCAG